This 2103-nucleotide long non-coding RNA is filed under the name Monodelphis domestica (gray short-tailed opossum). RNAcentral describes it as "lncRNA (ENSMODG00000045495.1)". The record is from RNAcentral. Lineage: Eukaryota; Metazoa; Chordata; Mammalia; Didelphimorphia; Didelphidae.
UUUAAUUAAUGUUAAAGGAUUGUUUUAAAUAUAAAGAAUAUAAAGAAAAGAAUGUUAGUCAAUGUGCCUUGUACCACUUACCAUAAACAUUACUUAGGCUAUAGCAAAAUUGUAUAUACCUUUAGAAUUCCUUCCCUUCCAUUAGGUAUAAUGCUGAUUUUUCCCCCUCAAAUUUAAUGAAUAUAUAGGAGUAAAUUUGAAGAUAUGAGAUACAUUGUGUGAGGAAAUAUUAUUCUUGUGUAUAUUGGGGUUGAACACUAAGAUAAAAGGAAUUUUUAAGGAGGAUAUCAAUUAAUGUCAAAAGACUGAUCAAGAAAACUAAUUUUUCUUAAUAAAAUUAAUACACCACUGCACUUUGAAAUUAUUUAUAUUUUGUUGACCAUGCACUUUAAAUUUUUUUUUAUUUUUUUCAAAUAAAGAUAGAAAUUUUUCUUGUUCAAGAAGCUUGUUGAUAGCUUUUAAUCAUCUCUGUGAAAAAAUGAUGCAAAGAAGAGUCCAGAACCUCAAUUUAUUUUCUUGUCAAAUAGACAAAGGUGACAACGAACUGGGGCUUUGUACUUGUAUCUUCUUUGAUCCAGCAGAUGAGGAUGGAAAGGAACCAGGGGUUUUUAUAACUGAAAUUAUUGAAGGAGGUGCAGUUCACAAACUUGGAUGUAUCCGUGUAUUUGACCAGAUUAUUAAAAUAGGUGACAUCAAUCUAAUUGGAUUGGAUGAAGCAGAAAUCGUCUCUACUUUUAAAAAAAUGGACGAUUCUCCUUUCCAGAUUGAAAUUGGCCGCGAACCACCUGAAGUGAAGUCAGAACUUAUCGAACUCCUUGAGUUGUCAGAGCAAAGGAAGAAAUAUUUUAUGGAUUCGCUCAUAGUACAGGAAAAAAUUGGAGAUAUCACUAUUGUGAGAGGACAAGCAAGUAUUUGUAGAAGUCCAAGAGUACCAUGGUUCUGGAUGGCCAGUGACCUGAAAUUUGUUAUUGGGGUACUGAAAACAUUAAUAGAAGAAGAUCAGGGAUGUAGAAAAGACAUCCAAGCUAUCUUUGAGCAGGCUAACAUUUUUCAAGACAAUUAUAAAGACAUGAACACAUACAAAGUGAAUAUGGAACAGAAACCUGAUGAAUCAGAUAAAGAAGGCACAUUUUUACCAUUGGCCCCAGAAGAAGAAUUUUUACUAGGACAAUUUAAAAUAAAGCCUAAAGAGAUAAAAAAUGAAGAUUUAUCACCAGAGCAAUUAUUAGCCCAAGGGGAUUUCAAUUCAGGUAAGACAUAUAUCCUUGCUCAAAACAUUUGACCCUAAAGUUUUCUGAUAGAAAAGAGAAAUUUGGAACAAAUGUUUCCAUCACUCACCGAAUAUCUGGUCUCUAUUUCUUUUCCCUUCAUAUCUCUAAUAAUGAGAAUGCUAGCUGCUUUAUAAGGCUUUCUCAACUAUUGGUGAUCCCUCUCUUGGUGAUUGAACUAUAAGGGACAUUGGAAAUAUUCUACUAUAACAUUUUAAUUGCUAUAGAAAUCUAUCCUAUAUGUAAGUCAGAAUGUCAUUUAGAUUCUGCCUCAAAAUAUGCAGUGAUAAGAAACUCAUUUUCUCAACAUCCAGGCCACACUAUUGCUAAAUUACUUAAGCUUUUAGAAAAUAUUUCAGUACAAUGUUUUUCCUAAGGAUUUUUUUUUAUAAUUUAGUCCUUUUCCCUUCUUUUGAAAUAAUACAGAAAAAGAUCUUGUUCCUCUUUCCCGAUUACUAUCCAUUUGACCUAUAAAAUCAACUUAUUUUCCACCUAAGUCUUUUUUUUAAUCUCUAUGAUCAUGUUUAGCCUGAAAACAAUCUUUAUAUGAUUUCUUAUUACAUCCUUGGGACAUGGUUUUGUUUAGAGUCUAUUAUCCAUCCUACUUUAAUGACAUCCAUUUUAGUUUAUCAACAUUCUGUUGGUCUCAUUGCAACAAAAUCUUUUUUUAAUUCAAUUACUUAUAGGAAUAUUUUUGGCCAUUUCUUUUGACAUUUUAAAAUUCAGAUACCCCAAUCUCCCUUUCCCUACCUGAGGGGGUGAAGAAUCUGAUAUAGGUUAUACUCAUACUAUCAUGUAAUACAUAUUUCCAUAUUGUUCCCAUCAUGAUAAAGAC